Scylla paramamosain (green mud crab) is the source of this 9860-nucleotide long non-coding RNA. RefSeq lists it as uncharacterized. The record is from RefSeq and is a predicted model, not a curated record. The transcript has 3 exons. NCBI's taxonomy places the organism in Eukaryota, Metazoa, Arthropoda, Malacostraca, Decapoda, Portunidae.
UAAAAUGAUGCGCAGAAACUCGGUGGUGGUAGGGGUUCCCAACUAGUAAAUACGAAACAGUUCCUCGGUCAUGGCGAGGAAAGAGGUGAGUAUGAGCGUGUCUCAUAGCUGGGUGAGUGAUGGCCAGCUGGAUGUAUCAUGAAGGAUCACAAUAUCACCGCAUAUCACCAGAAACACUACGCGGGAGGAAGAGGCGCGGCAGAGUGAAAGGCACAGAAAGCUUCAAGAAGACCUGCAAAGCCUGCUGCACCAUCUGGACAAGGGCAAGAAUCUCUUCCCAGCAGCUGGAUUCCAGCAUUCAGAAGUUAGAGAAGUUAGUGUGGGAAUACUAGGACCUCAAGAAGAGCUAAAAGCAGGGUGACACACAGUUAAGAAUUUUCCAGGACUCCCUCAGCAACCUCUUUGACAUCAGAGCCAGUAAUGCCCUGGCACAGAUGACUGUCGAAGAGGAUUGUGUGUUUUACCAAAUUCAACACAAGGAUGUCACUUCCUGCAGCAUGUUUGUCCCUGAUCUUUUAACAGCAGGGAAGGAGAGUUGGAAUUGAGUUCAGGAAGAACAAGAGAAGGCAAGAAGGAUGAAGGCAGAGGCCAAGGCAGCUUUAUCCUUGGUAGCAGCAACUCAGCUGUCUUCCACGUCCUCCUCUAACCUCAAGUCCCAGGUUGAUGAAGACUUCAUUCCUACUCCCAGUUGCUUGACACCAUUUAGGCAGUGGGAACCAGUUCAAGUGGACCCUCAAGAUUGAGAGAACUUCACCCGUAAAGAUCUGCUUCUCCCAGACUACACUUGGUAUGUGGGGAUGUGGACUGUGUGGCCAUUCUCAAUACUGGCCUGGGCAGUUUCGAUAAAUUGCUGGUUGUGCUGAAGACAGGAGGAGGCACGAGCAGUGGUGUAGUAGCUCUUGAUGGUUGGUCACUCCAUCCUCAUAUUCAAGGCCUGGUCUGGUCUUUGGUAUGACCACCUCCAACAGGGGUCUCCACCAUGGAGCCUGUGUGCUGAUUGAAGAGGGACUUGGGAAAGGACUCAUGUGGACAACCUGUCUUCAUCAUGUCUUGGAGAUUGUCCUCUCCACUGUCUUCAAGGUGUCCCCAGCAAGAUGUUCUGCAACCACAGAUUAGAAGAGCAGUUCUUAGGCAUGGUUUCCUACAUCCAGCAAGCUGUGAAGGAGCUGCAAGUGUGAGCAGACAACAUUAAGUUCCUCAGCCUGAGCCUCCUCUUCUUGAAUGGAGUGGGUGACCAGUGGGCCAAAUUUUAGACCCCAGGCCCAACCCAUCACAUGCAGUGGAUGGAGAAAGGAUUAUACAUCCUGAAAGUCUUCUCCUUCCUAAGACUAGUUCUGUCUUAUUGCCAAGGAGUCACGUAUCAUCAGAUCACUCACUUUUCAACACUUUGAUCUACAUCUGGUUAUGGAACGAGGCUCCACAUGGAGUACAGGUCCCCUUCAAUGACUAGGAGUUCCUCCAAACCUUUCAUGUGUACCCAGACAAAGAGGUCACAGGUGUUGCCAGCACCACCUUUGCACAUCAUCUCUGGUAUUUGGUGGAGCACCUGGUUGGACUGCCAUUCUUUGAUAAGGACGUGGACAUGGUGACGAAGCACAAGACAGUGACUAACUUUGAGUGGAAAAAGAAGCCAAGGUGCCUCCCCAAUGCUUGCAAGGAGUCCCAGAGAUCAGAGUUGAGCUGGAGGAGUUUGUGACCAAGAGGAUGCUGAAGAUGUUUAGCAUCACUGCUGAGCAGGGGAAGAAGAGGGCAAAAUCAUCUUUCUUGAAGGAAUAUCCCAGAAUGUGGGAGACAAGCACUUCGUUCCUGGAGGUGAAGUCUGCAGGUUCUUUGAAGGUGGCGAAUGAUGCAGCAGAAAGAACUUUUAAUUAUCCAGACCUUCAAUGCCUCACUGACCAAGGAUGGGGAGCAGAAACAGUACCUUCUCCAGCUCAUGCACCUCCUGAUGUCAAUCUCAGCACCACCUUAGGGUGGACACACCUCAGCUUAAUUAACAAAUAGAGAGAUGUAGCUUCCACUGGCAACAGGCACUGUGCAGAAGGCAGAUUCCCUUGGGCUUCAAGUGCCAUAUAUGACAUUUGGUGCCACUCAUUCAUAUAUUAAGGAGGUGCUUUGUUUUAUUCCUGCUGUGCAUAUCAAACCAUUAUAUGUUAAGUUUGCAUCACAUACAGCCAGGAUUGUGUUUUUAAGUAAAAUUGUAUUAAUUAAGUACAUAUCAGAGUUGGUCAAGUAUGUUUUUAGUUACAUAUACAUCAUCACUAAUCUGUUAUCAUUGAAGUUGUAGAAUGCUGGAUUAGGGGAUUGCCAGAUUAUAGGUUGAAAAGUUAGAAGGCACUUAACCCAACAGGUAACCACCUCAUUCUACCUUUAGAAUACCUUGCAAGUCGGUACAAGUUGGUUAUUUUUAUUUUUAUUUAUUUUUUUUCAAAAGCUGAACCACAUCCUUUAUGGGCAGUGUAUAGUAUUUGCACUUUACACAAGAAGCACUUCCUUUAUUCAUGACCAGGGCUAAAAGUGAGCAGGUUAUUAUAAUUAGAGCAAAACAAAUUGUAAUAGUUUGCUUGUUUGUGAGGCAAGUGAUGCCACCAAACAAAGGCAACAUCUUGGUGUAGCAACUUGUGAAAUUUUAAAUUAUGUUAGCUGAAAUUAGUGUCAAUUUAGUGAUGGAACUGGUUAAGUGAUUGCUGGACCAGUGAUGAUGUACCUGCACCAGCCAAUAUCCUGCGUCUAAUUUUGUGUGUAUCCAGUCUCUGCCACUACUUGGAUAAGUGGGGUAUGAUUACAUACCUGCUUAGUAGUGCAUCAUUGUAUACCUUCACAUCCUUGCCAGUGUCUUCUCAGUGGGUGACAAGUCUCUCAGUUGGGCAGAUAAAUGUACUCAUCUCCCCUUGCCUUCCUCUGUUAUACACUGGCUUGUUAUGAAGCUAGUGUAUAAUUAUCCUCACCUAUCCAGUUGAUAUGCAUUUUUUAAAUUUAUUUUUCAUGAGGAGCUCAAAGUUAUUUCAGUUACACAUCAUUAUUAUUAAUUUGAAGGAAUAGUAUAGUGAUCAGUUAAGUAAUGGAAUUGCACAAUUGAUAAAAAAAAAUCUUUUUAGUAUGUAUUGUAAUAGUUUUGAAUUAGAAAAAUAUGAUGUCUUAACCAUGGUUUUUGAGCCAGUAGCUUCCUUUCAACUUCCAGUCUUGUGAUACCAUAAGAAUUUAUUGUUCCCAUAACCAUUCCCCUUUAACUACAAUUGUUCGUUGUUUUUCAAAUUCUUAAGAACACCUGCUCUUUAAAAAAUUGGUGAACAUUAUUGAAGUUUUUACUUAAGCUCAGCUCACAUAAAACUCAUCCAUAGUUUUACUGCUCAUCUUUACUUGCCAUUAAACACACAAAAAUACUCAUGGUUAUAUCAAAUGAAAAUACUCAUGAUUAUAUCAUAUGAUGUAAAGAAUUUCAUUAUGCUUAAAUAAGUACUACAAAUUAUACUUGUGCACAUACAUAACUUUGAUAUCAUGUUAGUCAUAUUCACUCCAAUAAAUAUUUAAUUAUCAUUGCUAAAAACAUUCUAAAUUGUUAGGGCAUACCUAUGCUCUUAGAAAAUUAAAAUUCUUUCACCACUAAUUAACUAUAACCCUCACUGUGAAUAGACCUGUUGAGUGCAUGAAAUAAGAUACAGCUGUCAAAAAAAAUUAGGAAGUCCUAGAGAAAACAAAACUACGUAGAUUUUAAAGGAUUGUUUGUAGCCCUUUUGAUUGUAAAAAUCUGCCCACAGACUCCAUUUAUUAAUCAUUUCACAUGGCACAUUGUAACUGCAGAAUGGUACUGGAGAAUUAACAGGAGUGGAGAAUGAUAGUAGUACCAGAUGAGGACAGCAGGAUCAUCAUCAGGAAACUAGCAAGAACUGCAUUGUAGAGAAAAAUACCUGUGGAUAGGUAAAUUCACAUACCCACAAGCCACUUGCACAUGACCUGAUGUUACUCCUCUCAUCAGCAGACAUCAGUGCAAAGUUUGAGGUCUCUCAAUGCUGGUACAUGUAACACUUUGAAGACAGGCACAGUUUUGAAGUGCAUGAGGCACUGGGCCUGUCUAAAGCAUUUUUUAAUCAAGAUCAAGUACUUCUGCUUCCACCUAGGAUUGAAGAUGGCAUUGGUGUUUAUUUUUGGCUGGAGCUUCAUGGUCCCAAUUGCAUUCAUUGUUGAUGCUGGUCAGAUUGGCAGGCCUGUAGGUUGUCCACCCCUGCUCUAGCAGUAUCUUGCAUAGGGAUACAGGAGAAAAAAAAAAGUGCAAGAAAUGGGGCCAGGGCAUUGCCACACCAGUUUGCCACAGUUUCACUCUUGGACUGGAAAACAUUCCAUUCCAUCUAAUGCAGGAUUUCUUGGCCAGGCUUUGCCAUUCUUGGUUUUAAAAUUAUCCUUCUUGGCUUUAAUGUUUAUGUUCUGCAUGUUAACAGUACGUGUCUAUGUCUUAGACAGUUUGUCUAAGAUUGCAAAAAAUUCAAGACAGGAUAAUGAUUCCUUCCAAAAAAUAAGGAUAAUGAAUGAUUCAUUCCAAAGAUUCAUUCCAAAAAAUAAGACAGGAUAAGACAUUGUAGAGUGCAAAAGUGUAUCAUGUAGCCAUUUCAGAAAAGCACUGAUACAUUUCAAUGAUUAGACUAGGUAUAGUCUCUAAGUUAAACACAAGGUGUUGAGAAAAAUUUAUUAUGACAACCCCAAGGUGCUUCAAAGAGAUAGGAUUAUCUUAAGACAUGCCCUAAAACCAUAAUCAGACUCAAUCUGUUGAUAUAUAUCUUUCCUAUAUCUAUCUUUCUAUAUCUUUCCUGUAAUGUGGGGACCAGAACUACACAGCAUAGUCUAGAUGAGGUCUGACCAGCGCCAAGUAUAACUUUAACAUUACUUCCGGCCUUCUACUUUUAACACUCCUAAAAAUGAACCCUAGUACCCUAUUUGCCCUGUUUCUGGCUUCUAUGCAUUGUCCCUAGACGGAGUUCAGAGCUAACUAUAACUCCUAAAUCUUUCUCGUACCCUGUACUUACCAGAGUUUGGUUGUUUAAUGUGUACCUAUUGUGUGGGUUUCCUCUACCUACGCUAAGUACUUUGCAUUUAUUGAUAUCAAAUUGCAUUUGCCAUCUAUCCGUCCAUUCAUUCAUUCUAACUAAAUCUGCCUGCAAGGCGAUGGCAUCCGAUUCUGACCUAAUUAAUCUACCUAUCUUUGUCAUCUGCAAAUUUACUAACAUCACUACUAAUUCCACUAUCCAAGUCAUUGAUAUAUAUUAGAAAUAACAAUAGCCCUAAUACUGAUCCCUGUGGCACCCCACUAAUUACAUGACCCCACUCAGAUUUCGAGCCGUUUAUUACAACUCUGUCGCCUGUUACUAAGCCAUGACCCUAUCCAGCCUAAUACCUUCCCAUCUAUCCCAUGUGCCUUAACCUUUCUCAGGAGCCUUUGAUGGGGUACCUUGUCAAAUGCUUUACUAAAGUCCAGAUACAAGAUAUAACAUAUGUCAUUGUUGGUAAUUAUUAUGCUACAAACUCAUUAAGUGCCUUUUUUGUCCUCAGUCCCAGCUUUCAUGGUACAUCCAAGAUUAUACCAAUUAUUUUAUAUUUGUUGGUAAUUAUUAUGCUACAGACUCAUUAAGUGCCUUUUUUGUCCUCAGUCCCAACUUUCAUGGUACAUCCAAGAUUAUACCAAUUAGUUAAGAGUAUACCAAUUUGGAUACAACACUAAUUUUGCUUGAAUUAUUAGAAGAAUCAGACCAUUUAGAAAAUUAAUUUGUAUGCCAAGUUAAGCAACAGUGUGUUGUUGUUGAUAUGAAUACAACAAUUUUACUUGAAUUAUUAGAAGAAUCAGCCCAUUUAGAAGAUUAAUUUGCAUGCCAAGUUAAGCAACUGUGUGGUUGACCACUCAUGUGAAUGUUGUUCACUUUUUAAUCAACAGCUUUAACAUGUUAAUUAUGAAACAUCCACUAAACACCAAUUUAUAUAUAUCCACUGCAUCAGCAACAAACCUCUGCACCACACUUCACUGCAUCAACAGCUUCAACACGUUAAUUAUGAAACACAUCCACUACACUAAACACCAAUUUAUGUAUAUCCACUGCAUCAGCAACAAACCUCUGCCACACCACCCUUCUCUGCACCAACACCAACAAACCUCUGCACAACUCAUGUUUUCCAGUAUUCAACAGCUUCCUCUAACUACAAGAUCCACAAUGCAAAUCUGAUGGGGGAAAUUGUGAAGCUAUUGCUAUAACUUAUUUAUACUUCAAAUAAAUAUAAAUUAUUAAUUAAAUAAAUGCAAAUUAUACUUCAAAUAAAUGCAAAUUAUACUUCAAACAAGUGCAAAUUAUACUUCAAAUAAGUGCAAAUUAUACUUCAAAUAAAUGCAAAUUAUUCUCCAGAAUACAUUUUCUUUUUGCAUUAAUAAUUUGAUGAUUGCUUAUUUCGUAUACUGGCUAGAGAUGUUCUUGCCUUUAGCCCCUGUCAACCUGAAGCACUGGGUGUUCAUCACACAUCCCAUGCAUGGGAUCAUGUCCUUGAGCCUGCACUUGUACCUCCAAAGCAGUACUGUCACCAAUGUAGCAUGGCAUGGCAGGUAAAAAUUUGGUUUUCAUAUAGCUCUGUAUUAUCACAAUAUGACAACAGUUACAUGUUAAAGCAAUGACAAAAUUUGCAACCGAAAUAAGGAGUUGGCUAUAGUGGACUAGAUGCAUCUUGUACGUAGGAUAGAGCUGGAUAGUGAUGAGAGGGACACAAACACUGAGUAUGAAUUUAGCAGUCCCAUCAUCAAGGAUACUGCAGGCUGGGUAGCCUAGCCUGGAGUUGGGUCCUCAGCAACCCUAUUGAGAAGUUCAUUACCUGAUCGAUUUCUCAUUAUGAAGUACCACAUAACAGGGUAUUGUAAGAUUAAUUUACAGUGUAUAGUGGGAAAAGCACAGAAUUACAAGUAGAAACUAUUGUUUUUAUACAUCUGUAUCUGGAAAAGGCCACCUGGAAAAGGCCACAAGUGCUAGAAAACUAAAAUACUGUUAAUUUAGGAUGUAAAAAUACAAUUGCACUAUAAGUCAAAGAUGCAACACCUUGAUUGUCAAGUGGAGAGAGGGAGAAAGUGAAACCUUGUUGGAUUACACCACUGUGGAUAGGAGCAGAUACUGUGGUUGUAAAAAGAAUCCCUAUAAAAUAGAACAUACUUUCCAACAGAAGAGUGCAAGCAGUAAACUAACAAAUUUUGGUUUGGCGUCAUUCCCUGUAGCACAGUCCCUACCAACGAAGCAUCGAGGUUCCAAGAAUGGUUGUCAUUUUACAGUUCAAAUUUCUUUGAUACUCCUUUUCUAAUAGUUGUCCAGAAAUGGAAUAACAAGGAAGCAAUAUACAACAAAUAUAGACCAGCAACAUGCAAAGAAUCAAGUAGUCUACCCGUUGUCAUGUGCAGUACUGCCCAAAAGGGAUUUUACCAAAUUCACGAAACCACAAAGCAUACGGUUGGAAAAUUACCAGCCAUGGUGCGUUCAUUUUGAGGAAAUUUGUUAGAGCAAAAUUUUCCUAGUGUGUUAUUGUUAGUUGUAUACAAAGACGUUUGACGUAGCUGUAAGGAUAUGCGAAGAUUGGGAUAAGAAAUUAUUGGCUAUAGUUAAAUUGGUUAAAUUUUAUUAUAUUACGCGAGCUUAGGGUAUCAACCACUUCGCAGCCACUUCACACCUCCCAUAAUUACAUCCAAGAGAAAAACUCUGCUCGAUAUUACUGCGGGAACUAACGGUAGCUCUCUCUCUCUCUCUCUCUCUCUCUCUCUCUCAGCCACAACAGCCUUGUAAGAACUCACUCACUCUCUCCACAACAGCCUUGUAAGAACAAAGAACUCUCAGGAUAACUCUUCAACUAGAAUAAAAGAAAAGAACCGUUAAUCUUGUAAACAAAGCAACGGUAGAGGAAACGGUUGCUAACAGGAAUGGGUACCCAAUACCUGCGGUCGGAAGUGAGGUCAUGAAUCACUUAACACCCAUUUCCACGUAUGUAUGCAUACUUCCUCCACGCACAUUUCCGCAUUUAGUUGGGUAGGUAAAGUUACUUUUCCGAGGGUCUCUGAAAAAAAUAUGGUAGUUAUAAGCACCGCAAAACAUUAAUUGCACACACACACACCUGCCAGUGAAACCCUUAACUGCUAACGCACUGUGAGACAGUCACAACACCUACCACGGGAAUCCUCAACACUACUUCUCGCCCAAAUUAAAUCUUUGCUCGUCUCUCUGGAUUACACUCAGCAGUGGUUGAAAUGCUCUUAAAUGCUCUCAUCUAGCGAGUUAACUAGUUGACACCAUCCGCAACUACCGUCCAGGCGAGCUUCCUCUCUUAACACGUCACAAAUCCCGCUUCUGCCACUUGCUUUUGAGUAAAAAAUUAAGCCCUACAUGAAAACCUUGACCCAAUGACGACGUAAAUAUAGCUUCUUAUAGAUCUAUUACGCAUUGUGUAUCAAAAUAAUUUUCACUGUAUGUAAGUAGAACUAAGCACAAUAACGUAGUCCAAGCAUCUUCUGCCCUUUAAUACAAACUUGGGGACUGAAUAAACAAUCACCAAUAUAUACUCCUAACGCAAAUAAGGGUAUUCAUUACACUUAACCUGGAGAUUUUUACCAAUUCCAGCUCACCCGUCAUCGCAUACCAACACUAACUGGAUUAAACCUUUAUUAAUCUGCUUAAUUUGAUACGUUUUUUUUUUUCUUAGUAACUAUAUUUACGUAUAUUUACUCUUAGUAAUUAUAAUACGUGGAAAUAGAAAUGCAAUGUUUCAUACGAAGACACGUGUAGCCCUGAUGGUUUCUCACCUUAUUUCCUUGUUCUUGCUGGCAGUUUCGCUUAUUUUAAGUUCAGUUUUCCUUAUUAUAUCCUUAUUCUUUUCAGUUAUUUCACCUAACUGCUCCAUUAAAAUCAGUACUACUACACAAAACUAUUACUUAUAAUAAUCAAUACCGACGUGCUGGUGAAUCAGCGACACCUUAGCAUUCGUUUACGUCAUCAAAUUGUUUAUAACUUGAUCUGUCUCUAGAACACCUGCGAAUACAAGUGACUGUAGACAAAUCACCACACCGUGAUCGUACACCGCACCGCACUCAGAUCGCUUCAUCUCCUGCCGCUACACAACCUCUGUUUAAUAUUUCCCACAUAACACACUACACCGCGACCUAUCAAGAAAUCUUACAUGGCCGCCAGCCAAUAUCAGACAAUUGACCAACCAAGCUACAGUGGACUUUAUAGAUAACAUUACUUACUUUGAACCACUCCUGCCAUCACUAACGUGGAAUACCCCGCAGCGGCCGCUCACAAACUCCUUCCACGUCGCCCAACUCCCUUCUGCCACUCCUUUCCUUAGUGUGGCGGACAUACUAUGUUGAAAAAUUCAAACCCUCGAACCAUCGGUGAAACAGUAUCGAUUAUGAAAUAUGUUAGUUUGGUGUGAUAUUACACAGCCUGCCUACUACAUAAUAUUUGUUAAUAUUUUAUGUGCAGAAAUGUAGUGAAGGAAGCUUCUGGCCAAUACAGGAAAUUUUGGUAUAGCUGUACGAACAGUGUGGAGCAGUUAAUUCAGGUAAAUACUGAAUAAGUGGUCACUAACACGGUACAAUUGUUAUUGCAUCACCACCGCAAUUAGACGGAAAGCAGCAACAUCCAGGCAUCAUUCCCACCACAACACUCUCGCAAUACAUUCCCACCGCAACACUUAAGAGAUGGCAGCUGUCAUAAAAUGCAAUCCCACAGUCAGACAAAAAAUCCCACGCCACACCGCUAAUCACGUGUCAAACUUUGUCACGUGUGCGGAAUUACUUCAUAAAAAGUUUGGGAUUAAGACGUAAGAGAUUCUACGUGCGUUGUAGUUUGGGAAGGUUA